UGCCCAAACUGCACAAGGCCGGAGUUUCUGGGUCUGCCCGAGCUGGAGGGACCAACCUGCUGCAGGGAAUCAGUCUGGUGAGGGACCAGACGUGGGAGCUGAUGAUUUCUAAGCUGGGAUAAGGGCAUGGUCCUAAUAGGGCUCUGGACACGGCAUAGAGGGGUGGCCAGAAAAGAGGGGGACAGAGCCACCAGAACAGGCCUCCUAGGAGUUAUGUUGGGGGUUUCCAGCCAGCCUGGGUGCAGAAGGGCCCUCCCUCCGUGACAACGGUGCAGCAGGUGUGACUGUGCUGAUUGAUGCCUGGUGGCCCAGGAGUGGGCGGUGGGACGGGUGUGGCAUGAAUUGGUAGGGCCAGCUUACCAGGGGCCUGAGAGCCAUCCUGUGAGCAGUGAGCAAUUCCAAGGGGGUGGAGGGGUCUGAUCCAUGUUUGAGAGGGUUCUCCAGCUGCUCGGGGAGCAGGGGUUGUGAGAGCAGGAGCCCGGGAAGGGAGGGAGGGGUAACUGGAGAGCUCCUGUCUCCUGGCUGGUGUUACAGAUGGCAGAGUGGGUACAGGUAUUCCCUGGAGGGUGGUGCCAGUCUUGCCCUGGACACUCAGGCUGGGAGCAGAGACUUCCAGAAGGUCCUUCCAGAGCCCCAGGUGGCUGAUGUCCCAGGCAGUCCCCAGCAUAAGCUGUGUCAGUGGGGAAGACAUAAGUGUGGGACGGGUGACCCUAUUGGAAACAUGAGCUGAACGCCAUGAAGCCUCCUGCCAGCAGCCGUGGGCAUGCUGGAAACAGCUCCGCGGGAUGUUUUCUUCCCCUGCCUGUCAGCACCCAGCAUGUGCUGCUCUGCGCCCAGGGGAACUGGCUCUGCUGGUUCUGAGAUGGCGAUGGAGCCCCAGGCCCAGAGUCUAAAUGUGACCUUGAGAUCUGCUUACCUUGUCCAGUCAGGGCUGGCUGCCCACAGCGGGUCCUGGACAGACGUCAGGGCUUCCCAUCCCCCUGGCUCCAGGUCCACGGGGUGGGUAGGAGGCAGAAGGACAGGGAAGGGAAGAGGGCGGUGGGGAGCGUCACUUCGAUUUUUUCUCCUAUGUACUUCCUUACAUGUAGGUGGCAAUUAUGUGGUGUUUACUGCAUGGUGUGGGUGUUAUAAUCCUCUCAGUUUUCCAAUGAGGAAGCUGAGGCAGGGGGAGGUUGAACAGCAGCAGAGGUGCCCUGCGGAGCCAAGCCAUCUGCCCCAGAGGCCACUAGCGGCUAAGCCUGUGGUUCUCAAAGUGGGGUCUCCUGGAGGCAGCAGCAGCAGCAUUGCCUGGACCUUGUGAGGGACUGCAAAUCCCUCCUGAGUCUGGGCAGGGCUCAGCAAUCUGUACUUUAAGGAGCCAGCCCGGGGGUUCUGACUCUGGCCCAGGGGUGUCUUCAAUUAAUCCAGCCUAUUCAUUGCAUAGCCAUAGUCAAGGAAGUGCUGAAGACAUGCAACUCUUAUAAAAACCAGAGGCAGACAGAUCACCUGCUUUCUUGGAGCUAGAGACGGAGGGCAAACGCAUAGUUUUCUCUGGACAGUCGUGGAGCAUCUUUGCCAAAUACUAGAAGCCUCAGAGGAGCGCUGCAGCCCAGAACUGUGGACAGGCUGCUAAAUCCAGGGCCAGGAGAGCUCCAAACAGUUUGCAGACCAACCUUAGCUGCCACUGGCAAGGCCAGAUCCAGUGGAAGACAUUGGUGUUCCCAGCUGGGCUCUCACAGCUAACCAAGCAGGCCUGUGAACUCUCCUAUUCAUGUUUUAUUUCAGUUCGUUUUUUCAAAUUUCAAGAUUAUUAACAGGAGAUUAGCAAUGGUAGCUUUGUACACCAUUUGACUUUGCAUCAGUAGUUUGGCUACUGGCUGAUUUUAGGAACAGAAUGGAACUAUCCUGUGAACCAAAGUCCUGAUGCACACGCUCAAGGCUGCAGGGUGGCUGCAGAGUCCAGGGCUGCGUCCCUUGAUGGAAAACUGAAUGCCCAUUCCAAGGUAACGUUCGAAACUUCUGGGCUGUUUCCCCUCCUCCUCACACAAUGAGGUGUGGUGGUUACAGUAGACCCAAAGGAAAGUAUAGACCAUCGGCUACAAAUAAACCCCUCAAACAACAUCUUUUGUGAAAGGCAUCAGGCAAAGAUAAAUUAAAAACAAACAAGCAAACAGCAGUAGACACGUUCCAGCCGUCCUGGGCCCCAGCGCCUUUCCCCUUAGUUGUGGCUAUUUAGGCAAACGUGAAGGGGGAUACGACCAGCCCUGCCUAGUCACCCAAGGUCACCUGUGGGUACAGAGCACUCCUCCGACCCAGAAUGCAGCCCCCGUGGGCAACCCUGCUACGGCAGAAGGAGUGUGAGGCGCCCCCCUGCACGGCCUCAGCAAGCCUGCUUCCCUCUGCAAGGGCACUGCUACGUGGGAAGAGUGCGGCUGGCAGUUAGCCCCUGACAGUGGGGCAGGCUAGGUCCUUCAGCCUCUGCCACUCGCUGGCUAGGCCCGUUACAUAACUCCUGUGGGUGUGGGAGGCUCAGACGGCAUGACAUCACUUGGAGGGCAUUCUACUGGCCAUCACAAGUCACAGGCCUGCCCAAAUUCCGGGAUGUGGAACAGACUCCACCUUUUGGUGAGAGUCCUGUAAAGCCACAUUGCAAAGGGGUGUGGACUCAGGGAUGGGAAGAGCUGUGGCCAUUUUUGCAAUCAAUCUAUUGCAUAGGGAUUGCGACAUUGAAUCCUCACAGCAACCCCCAAUGGUCAGAUGGGGAAACUGAGGCACAGAGAGAUUAAGAUCCUUGUCCCCACCAGGGGUUGCCAGGUCAUAAACCCUGGCAGGUUUGUCUGCCUCCAGAGCCCCUUGUUGCUAUAUCCUGGCCUGGGCUGUGUGCUGGGAACCUCGGGCAACAUGGCCCUGGUUAUUGCAGUCCACGGGACGCACGUGGGGAAUGGUGGGUGGUAUGUUCUGACCACAUCUGGCUGCCCUGGAAAGUGGCCGUGCAGUCCUUCCUCUUCCUGCACUGUAGAAGCCUCAGGCCCUCAAUCAAGGCCUUUUCAUCCCAUGCUAAGCUUUGGGAUUACAGAGAGAAUGUUCCCUUUGGUGGCCUUUGUCAGAACUCCGUCAGUGUGUGCAUGAGGUUCCUAAAUACUUCAGACUGGCCAGUAGCCAGGGAGGAAGCAAACAGCCAGCUCUCACAGCCUCGGCAGGUUACAGCAGGCCUGAGGUGAGCAAUGUUGCCGACCACAGGCAGGGAGGUGGGAACUCGGGGGAGGUUCUCCCCCAUUCUGGGUGGGCUUGGGAUCACGCUUGUCCUGCAGAAGACAUGUGCCUGGCCCCUGAGUACUCACAGUGGUACAUUUUUCUCCCCAGAGGAUGGAAAGUUAGAUACUCACCAUCUCAGGCUCCCUGUGGCUAGUUGCAGCAGCCACCUUGUGACCUUGAGUAAAGGUCCGAGAACUGCAUGGAUGCUGGCUCUGCCUGUGCAAACCUUGGAAGCUCCCAGCAGGGACGCAGCUCCUAUUUCUUUGUGCUGGGAGAAAGACCAUCUCCAUUCAUUUAAGUCACUGUCAGUGGGCUGUUCUGUUACUUGCAGCUGGGUGCAUCCUGAUAGGGACAGUAAUUGGCAGGGAUCUGACGUGUUUCUUCGGAUUGCUUUUACUUCUGCACAUUCCAACAGGGUCAAGCAUUUGGCCAGGGCUCAAUUACUCUCUGCUGCCCUGGAUACUGGCUUAGGAGUGUCCUGUCCAAUUUACGGCUUAGGCUGCUAGAAUUUGCCACCUGGAAGUAGGGUGGGCUACUUCCCACUGACCACUCUCCAGCUUUGAGGAAAAUAGGAAAUGAAAAGAGGGACAAACUGCACACGUGCCGGACGUGCCGAGUCUCAGGCAAGACCCAGGGGGAGCACGUUCACACCACACAUUUGGUGUUCCUCAUAAAAGUUCUCGUCCAUAAUCUUCUCUAGACUGUGGUGUCUUCCAAGCUUUGGGUAUAAGGUAUUGGCCAUCAUGAGAGUUCUUCUCAUCCUUAAGCCCAAUUUCAAGAUUGAUUUUCUCUGUUAGCAGGUAAGGAUCUGCCUAACACAGCUGCGGAUUCUUCCAGCAGGAUAUGUUCAUCCCUGACCUGGAAGCUCAGUGCGGUGGGAGGGAUGGAGUCUGGCAGGACACAGGGAUGCCACUGCACAGAUGGGAUAUGACUCCAGGGUCGUCACCUGGCCUUGAUCACCUGUUUGCUCAUCUAUGAAACAGAUGAACAGUGGUACUUACCUGAGAGGGCAGCUGGAGGACACCGGAGCAGGUUUGUGUGACAGACAUGUUGGCUGCUACUAAAAACUACAAGAGUUCCCUUUCCAAGUGCUCUAGCCCCAGCUCCGUCUCCUCUUGGGAAACUUACUGCCCUUCACCUUGCAUUGUGUGUAAGUUUUCCUCUCUUCUGAUGGCCCACGGCCCUCCCGUCACUACACUCCAGUGCCUGGAACAAAGGGGUUUUCAGCACUGGCUGGGCCAUCCGUCCAGGCAGCCUGCCUUCCGACAGCCUUUCCUCCCGGUCUUUCCUUUCCUUUCACUCAUUUAUUCAACGCAACAUCCAUAUUUAUCAAAUUCCUUAUAUAUGCCAAGAAAUCUGACUACCCUUAAUCCAAAACUGUCCCACCUGGACUCCUGUCCCCAGUUGCAUCAGGAUGGGGAAUUUUAGUCUUUUGCCAUGCAAGUGGACGCCCUGCAGAAGCAAAGAUGAGCAGCCUCCAAAGGGGUAACGUGACCUAUAAUCCAGCCCCUUCUGACCCAAGGGCCCCCUCUGCCACUCACACAAGAUCUUGCUUCAUCCUGACUUAUGGCUCCUCCCCCACAGUCUUGAGGAAUCCAAGAGUCUGUUCUGUUUAUAUCUAGAAUCCUCCUUUGAAGAAUGUGUGAACUUGAGCUUAUGCCAUCCAAUGACUCGGGUACGUGGAAGCCCCUCUGGAAGGCUGACAGAUACAGGCAAGCAUCCCAGCACAACAAACAACCGCUCCAAGCUGUUGGCUUUGCAGUUGGCCGUUGUUCCCACUGGCCGUGCCAAUGACCUCAUCCCCCAAGGGGAGGCCAGGGCCUGGCAGGGCUGCCCCUCCAGGGAGAACAAUGCCCCCUGCACCCUGGGUUCUGGGCUCUGAGACUGUCCCCUCCACCCCUGAGGGGCCACAUGCUCUUGGCUGAUGGUGCAGGCACGCGAUGGAGAGGCCCAGCCAGUCCCAAGCUGUGUGCAAGUUGUCCACCCAGAACCACUGCAUUACUCCUAGAAUGAAGGGCUGGAAAUCAUUAAUCACUAUAUUAUUUUUUCCAUCUGGCUAAAUAAAGCCCAAAUCUCCCUACGCAGACAUCUAAGAUCCUUCAAAAUCAGAGUCGCUGUAAGUAUUUCCAGACUCCUCCCUCCUGCGAACCGUUUUCUAGGGCCAAGAUGCCCCAGUGUGAACCGGGUCUCCUGCCUUCAAGCCCUCCCACACACCGGAGCACCAGCAGCCCCGUUUGCAGGCUCCUCCUCCAGGAAGCCUUGCGGGGGUCCUGGCCUGCGGUCGCCCAGGCUGGGCCUCUGUGGGCUCUGGGCCUGUGCCGAGUGUCCCUGGGGAGGUCUUCUGGGAGGCCUGCUCGCUACAUCUGUUGUGAGGAACUUUAGGUCUUAACAUCUCGAGUCUCUUUCCUCCCUUAGAAAGAAAGCCUGGCUGAAGACACUGCUGAACUGUCCUGAAAUGCCCUCCACGUGGGAUCGUCUGUUCUCUCCUCCUUACGGCAGUUGACUGAGUCCUCUCGCCUUCACGGUUCCUGUGAAUAGAAUUUACCUUUAGACAUUCAACUAAAUUCAGGUUCAAGUUUUUGGCAAUA
Nycticebus coucang (slow loris) is the source of this 5822-nucleotide long non-coding RNA. RefSeq lists it as uncharacterized. The transcript has 2 exons. The record is from RefSeq and is a predicted model, not a curated record. NCBI's taxonomy places the organism in Eukaryota, Metazoa, Chordata, Mammalia, Primates, Lorisidae.